CCUACGGGUGGCAGCAGUGGGGAAUAUUGGACAAUGGGCGAAAGCCUGAUGCAGCCAUGCCGCGUGUGUGAAGAAGGCCUUCGGGUUGUAAAGCACUUUCAGUGGGGAAGAAAGCCUUGGGGCUAAUACCCUCGAGGAAGGACAUCACCCACAGAAGAAGCACCGGCUAACUCCGUGCCAGCAGCCGCGGUAAUACGGAGGGUGCGAGCGUUAAUCGGAAUUACUGGGCGUAAAGCGCGCGUAGGCGGUCUGAUAAGCCGGUUGUGAAAGCCCCGGGCUCAACCUGGGAACGGCAUCCGGAACUGUCAGGCUAGAGUGCAGGAGAGGAAGGUAGAAUUCCCGGUGUAGCGGUGAAAUGCGUAGAGAUCGGGAGGAAUACCAGUGGCGAAGGCGGCCUUUUGGACUGACACUGACGCUGAGGUGCGAAAGCGUGGGUAGCAAACAGGAUUAGAUACCCCAGUAGUC
Molecule: ribosomal RNA, 465 nt
Filed under: Vreelandella stevensii
Lineage: Bacteria; Pseudomonadati; Pseudomonadota; Gammaproteobacteria; Oceanospirillales; Halomonadaceae
Description: partial 16S ribosomal RNA
Rfam family: Bacterial small subunit ribosomal RNA
Source: RNAcentral